GCUUUCUUAGUGUAGUGGUCAGCACGCUCGACAAGUAUCCGAGAGGUCCGUGGUUCAAUUCCCAGCGAGGGCA
This 73-nucleotide transfer RNA is filed under the name Stegodyphus mimosarum. It matches the Rfam family "tRNA". From Rfam's summary of the family: Transfer RNA (tRNA) molecules are approximately 80 nucleotides in length. Their secondary structure includes four short double-helical elements and three loops (D, anti-codon, and T loops). The record is from Rfam by way of RNAcentral. Lineage: Eukaryota; Metazoa; Arthropoda; Arachnida; Araneae; Eresidae.